This 253-nucleotide ribosomal RNA is filed under the name uncultured bacterium. Its description in RNAcentral is "partial 16S ribosomal RNA". It matches the Rfam family "Bacterial small subunit ribosomal RNA", at positions 524 to 776 of the family's 1533-position model. The record is from RNAcentral.
UACGUAGGGUGCAAGCGUUGUCCGGAAUUAUUGGGCGUAAAGAGCGUGUAGGCGGCCCGAUUAGUCCGCUGUGAAAGUCCAGGGCUCAACCCUGGAAUGCCGGUGGAUACUGUCGGGCUAGAGUCCGGAAGGGGCGAGUGGAAUUCCUGGUGUAGCGGUGAAAUGCGCAGAUAUCGGGAGGAACACCGGUGGCGAAGGCGGUUCUCUGGGCCUGUACUGACGCUGAGGAGCGAAAGCGUGGGGAGCGAACAGG